AUGCAAAGCCCUAAUAUGUCCUAAUCAUCACUCUAUCUUAAUUAUUACGUAGAUUAGAAGUUUCAUCUUUCAAACUUUAUGUAAACUAUACGUAAACUCCAAUAUGCAUGAUCAUGUUUUUUGAUUAACAGCCAGAGCUUGAUCACCACUUUUAAUUGGAAUCUAGAUGCACAUGCCAUCUUCCACUGCGUAGUACACAAAUCCCUACAGUGCUGGUAGUAACAUCUGCCGAGGCUCUGGGCGUGGAGGUGGUCAACGACAAGGCUCUCUUACUAGUCAUUGUUUGUUCAGGUUCUAUGAUGGCCAUGCAUUGGAUGCUCUUAUCAAAAGUGCUUGUCACUGUAUGGUUGAUGAUUAAGCUUGAAAAUUUGUGUUUGGAAUUUAGGUUUUGGAGAAGAGAAA
RNAcentral lists this long non-coding RNA (402 nucleotides) under Carica papaya (papaya). Its description in RNAcentral is "long non-coding RNA (CPAP_LNC004343)". The record is from RNAcentral. Lineage: Eukaryota; Viridiplantae; Streptophyta; Magnoliopsida; Brassicales; Caricaceae.